Molecule: ribosomal RNA, 460 nt
Filed under: uncultured bacterium
Lineage: Bacteria
Description: partial 16S ribosomal RNA
Rfam family: Bacterial small subunit ribosomal RNA
Source: RNAcentral
CCUACGGGAGGCAGCAGUGAGGAAUAUUGGUCAAUGGGCGCGAGCCUGAACCAGCCAAGUAGCGUGAAGGAUGACUGCCCUACGGGUUGAAAACUUCUUUUAUCAAGGAAUAAAGUGAGGCACGUGUGCCUUUUUGUAUGUACUUUAUGAAUAAGGAUCGGCUAACUCCGUGCCAGCAGCCGCGGUAAUACGGAGGAUCCGAGCGUUAUCCGGAUUUAUUGGUUUUAAAUGUAGCGUAGAUGGGUUGUUAAGUCAGUUGUGACAGUUUGCGGCUCAACCGUAAAAUUGCAAUUGAUACUGGCAGUCUUGAGUACAGUUGAGGUAGGCGGAAUUCGUGGUGUAGCGGUGAAAUGCUUAGAUAUCACGAAGAACUCCGAUUGCGAAGGCAGCUUACUAAACUGCCACUGACAUUGAUGCUCGAAAGUGUGGGUAUCAAACAGGAUUAGAUACCCUGGUAGUC